AGCAGCCGCGGUAAUUCCAGCUCCAAUAGCGUAUAUUAAAGUUGUUGCAGUUAAAAAGCUCGUAGUUGAAUUUCGGGGUUAGUAGGUUGGUCAUGCCUCUGGUAUGUACUGGUCUCACUGAUUCCUCCUUCCUGAUGAACCGUAAUGCCAUUAAUUUGGUGUUGCGGGGAAUUUGGACUGUUACUUUGAAAAAUUAGAGUGUUUAAAGCAAGCUAACGCUUGAAUACAUUAGCAUGGAAUAAUGAAAUAGGACGUUCGAUCCUAUUUUGUUGGUUUCUAGGAUUGACGUAAUGAUUAAUAGGGAUAGUUGGGGGCAUUAGUAUUCAAUUGUCAGAGGUGAAAUUCUUGGAUUUAUUGAAGACUAACUACUGCGAAAGCAUUUGCCAAGGAUGUUUUCAUUAAUCAAGAACGAAAGUUAGGGGAUCGAAGACGAUCAGAUACCGUCGUAGUCUUAACCAUAAACUAUGCC
RNAcentral lists this ribosomal RNA (469 nucleotides) under uncultured Glomus. RNAcentral's name for it is "SSU rRNA". It matches the Rfam family "Eukaryotic small subunit ribosomal RNA", at positions 569 to 1043 of the family's 1831-position model. Lineage: Eukaryota; Fungi; Glomeromycota; Glomeromycetes; Glomerales; Glomeraceae. The record is from RNAcentral.